This 108-nucleotide non-coding RNA is filed under the name Anaerohalosphaera lusitana. RNAcentral describes it as "Phycisphaerae bacterium ST-NAGAB-D1 Glycine riboswitch aptamer". It matches the Rfam family "Glycine riboswitch aptamer". Rfam says of the family: This family represents the bacterial glycine riboswitch. The record is from Rfam by way of RNAcentral. Lineage: Bacteria; Pseudomonadati; Planctomycetota; Phycisphaerae; Sedimentisphaerales; Anaerohalosphaeraceae. RNAcentral also lists the same sequence under 1 other name.
UUGAUAGUCGCGAGAGAGGUCCUUGUCGUUUGUGAGGACGCCGAAGGUGCAAGUCUCUGCUGAAGACGUGGGGGCGAAACUCUCAGGCAAAAGGAUCGCGAUUAGACG